Molecule: RNA transcript, 2167 nt
Organism: Gossypium raimondii (Peruvian cotton)
Lineage: Eukaryota; Viridiplantae; Streptophyta; Magnoliopsida; Malvales; Malvaceae
Gene name: F-box protein At5g46170
Exons: 3
Source: RefSeq, a predicted model, not a curated record
CCAGCGCUCUUCAACUCACAAACAACGACAUGACACCCAAAUUUCAUCCCUUUCCAAUUCCACCCUACCUUUCCUUUCCCUUCCCUUAAAAACAACCAGCUUUUUCCAGUUUCCCCCCAAUUAACCAUUUCUCUCCCCUCUCAAACCCACCUUUUUUUCUCUUUAGAAUUCCGUAGAACGGAUACUUCAACGGGAAAAAAAAAAAAAAACCCAGAUGUCUUCGGUUUAUUCAGAUCCGAUCCAUGGAACCCACCCGGAACCAAUCGAUCACUUCGACCGUCUUCCCGAUUCUCUUCUCCUUUUAGUCUUCAACAUGAUCGGCGACGUGAAAGCGCUUGGCCGAUGCUGCGUUGUUUCGCGUCGUUUCCACGCCCUCGUCCCUCAAGUUGAAAACGUCGUCGUUCGUGUCGAUUGCGUCAUCUCCGACGACGAUUGUUCCCCUUCUUCCUCUGUCAAAUCACGUGCCGCCGGUCCAUUUUCCACCCUCUUCCGUCUCGUUUUCGGUGGCAUUGUCAAGCCCCUCCAAGCUUUGGGCCAAUUCCUUGGCCCCGAACGCCCCUCUCUCAACAAAACGCUCAAUACCUCUUCAUCUUCCUCUUUAUCUGUCGGUCUCGGCGGAGGUGAGGAUGGGGAAAUGGACCAAGGUGGGGUUACCCAUCAUUCUCCGACUCAAGUGCUUAGAAAUUUCAACGAGCUUCGUUUCCUCCGAAUUGAAUUGCCCGGCGGCGAGUUAGGGAUCGAUGACGGAGUUCUGCUGAAAUGGAGAGCCGAUUUCGGAUCAACCCUUGAUAGCUGCGUAAUCCUCGGAGCUGCUUCCGUUUUUAACAAUGUGCAUUUCCAAGUACCAGGGCAUGGGAACGAUGGAUUUUGCAUCAACAACGGUUCUAAUGUCGGCAACGGUGAUGAUAAUGGGAGUAUCCCUGAGUCGUUUUAUACCAAUGGAGGCUUGAAAUUAAGGGUUGUUUGGACUAUUAGCUCGUUAAUCGCAGCAUCAGCGAGGCAUUAUUUGCUUCAAUCCAUAAUUGCAGAGCAUAAGACGCUGGAUAGCUUGGUUUUGACCGAUGCGGAUGGACAAGGGGUGCUUUGUAUGAACGGUGAGCAGCUUGAGGAGUUAAGAGUGAAACCAUUAUCAGCUUCUGCUGCUUCAAAAAGGACGCUGGUGCCGGCUCUGAAUAUGAGGCUUUGGUAUGCUCCUCAUUUGGAGUUGCCUGAUGGGGUUGUUUUACAAGGUGCCACUUUGGUUGCUAUCAGGCCUAGUGAACAAUCUGCUUCGAAAAAAGAGGUUUCGGAUGCUUCUUGGUUAUCAUCUGCUUUUGAAGAGCCUUAUGGGACUGCAGCUAAGAUGCUGGUUAAGAGAAGGACUUACUGUCUGGAGAUGAACUCGUUCUGAUGCCUGCUUCCUGUUCUGUAAAGGGAAAGCUGCACCAUGGUCAAGGGGAUAGAGGUGAUAGCUUGCUUUUGGAAAGCUGAUAAUCAGACCACAAUUUUGUUACAUGUUGUUGCUGAUUCUCAGGGCAAUAUCGUUUGAAAGCUAAAACUUGCUUUGGAUCACCAGUGAGGGCAGUCCAUGCUUGUUGAUAAUUCACUGCUAGUGUUUGAGCUUUUGUGCUUCAGCUGAUUACCGAAAUGCAUCUGCUGCUUGUUUUUUAUUUCAGGCAUAUGCUUUUAAGAGUGCACACCUGCAACUAGAAUGAUGUUGGUCUUUGACGCACCUGAUUUAUUGACGCAUGGUACCGAUCAGAACUCAGAUUUACUUGCUGGGUCUAUUAUUGCUUUAUUUCUUGGGCAAAUUCAAUCAAGGGCGAAGUUACCCAGCAAACAGGAUGCACGUUUCAUCAACUUCCAAGGUCCUGUGAGUUUUUAGUUUCUCAUUAUUGUUCAGAAUGAUUUGCCGUCAUUCAUUGAGCUUCUGCAACCUUGUUUUUCCCCCUUCAUUUUUGGGUUUCCAAUUUCCACCCAUUAGUUUAUAUCUUUAAAUUAACCCAUUAAGAUUAUACAUUUGUUUAAGAUUGAGACUGUUAGUAUAGUACUCUCAACACAGUUUCCUUAUCAUACAUGAGAGAGAGAGAGAGAGAGAGAGAGAGAGAUCAUGAAUGAAUGCUAUUAUAUACUUUUCAUUAUUGAUUUCUUUAAUGCAACUUUUCAUAAUUGAUUCAAUGCGGUUGAA